RNAcentral lists this ribosomal RNA (393 nucleotides) under uncultured bacterium. RNAcentral describes it as "bacterial SSU rRNA". It matches the Rfam family "Bacterial small subunit ribosomal RNA", at positions 30 to 425 of the family's 1533-position model. The record is from RNAcentral.
AUUGAACGCUGGCGGCAUGCUUUACACAUGCAAGUCGAACGGUAACAGGGAGCUUGCUCCGCUGACGAGUGGCGAACGGGUGAGUAAUGCAUCGGAACGUACCGUGUAAUGGGGGAUAACGUAGCGAAAGUUACGCUAAUACCGCAUACGCCCUGAGGGGGAAAGCGGGGGAUCGUAAGACCUCGCGUUAUACGAGCGGCCGAUGUCGGAUUAGCUAGUUGGUGGGGUAAAGGCCUACCAAGGCGACGAUCCGUAGCGGGUCUGAGAGGAUGAUCCGCCACACUGGGACUGAGACACGGCCCAGACUCCUACGGGAGGCAGCAGUGGGGAAUUUUGGACAAUGGGCGCAAGCCUGAUCCAGCCAUGCCGCGUGAGUGAAGAAGGCCUCGGUUG